Molecule: ribosomal RNA, 637 nt
Filed under: uncultured bacterium
Lineage: Bacteria
Description: bacterial SSU rRNA
Rfam family: Bacterial small subunit ribosomal RNA
Source: RNAcentral
GCUCAACCGAGGAAGUGCUUCGAAAACUGGUAAACUUGAGUGCAGAAGAGGAAAGUGGAACUCCAUGUGUAGCGGUGGAAUGCGUAGAUAUAUGGAAGAACACCAGUGGCGAAGGCGGCUUUCUGGUCUGUAACUGACGCUGAGAUUCGAAAGCAUGGGUAGCAAACAGGAUUAGAUACCCUGGUAGUCCAUGCCGUAAACGAUGAGUGCUAAGUGUUGGAGGGUUUCCGCCCUUCAGUGCUGCAGCUAACGCAUUAAGCACUCCGCCUGGGGAGUACGACCGCAAGGUUGAAACUCAAAGGAAUUGACGGGGGCCCGCACAAGCGGUGGAGCAUGUGGUUUAAUUCGAAGCAACGCGAAGAACCUUACCAGGUCUUGACAUACCAUGAAAAGCUUAGAGAUAAGUCUUUCCCUUCGGGGACAUGGAUACAGGUGGUGCAUGGUUGUCGUCAGCUCGUGUCGUGAGAUGUUGGGUUAAGUCCCGCAACGAGCGCAACCCUUAUUAUCAGUUGCCAGCAUUCAGUUGGGCACUCUGGUGAGACUGCCGGUGACAAACCGGAGGAAGGUGGGGACGACGUCAAAUCAUCAUGCCCCUUAUGACCUGGGCUACACACGUGCUACAAUGGCCGGUACAACG